RNAcentral lists this non-coding RNA (23 nucleotides) under Rattus norvegicus (Norway rat). Lineage: Eukaryota; Metazoa; Chordata; Mammalia; Rodentia; Muridae. The record is from RNAcentral.
GUAUUUUGGUGAAUGGUCCUCUC